RNAcentral lists this long non-coding RNA (5265 nucleotides) under Marmota monax (woodchuck). The record is from RNAcentral. Lineage: Eukaryota; Metazoa; Chordata; Mammalia; Rodentia; Sciuridae.
UAGCUGCAAGGAAAACCCAGGAGCCAGGCCAAACCCCUGAGGUGGGCGGCCUGGGUUCAAUGGCAUCUCCAAGGCGUCCAGCCCCCGGCCUCAGCUCCCUGGUCUGUGUGGUCCAGGUGCAGGCUGCCCGGCCGAUGCGAGCAUUGGUGACAGUGCUGUACAGAGUGACGAGGCCUUGCUCGAUGACACGGUUGCUGCGUGACACACGCGAGGUAGAACAGGCGGCUGCUCUUAAUGCCGUGUGGUGUGCCUUGUCCACAGGGGCCAUGGGGGCUCCGAGGAGGAGGGCAGUGAGGGGCUCCUGCAAGCUGCUGUCCCAGUGCCUGCUCACUCUUCACUUCCUGGCUCCAUAGCAGGUCUAAAAAUCCUGGGGGGCUGGGGUGUAGCUCUGGGGUCCAGUGUGCCUCGCAUCCGCAGGGCCUGGGUUCCUCCCCACCAUCUCUGGGUCUCUGUCUCUGUCUCUCUGUCUCACACACACUAUCUCUCUGUCUUUCUGUCUCUGUCUGUCUCUCUCUCUCUCUCUCUCUCUCUCUCACACACACACACACACACACACUCACUCACACACAUACAUGUAGGCACUAUCUUUCAACCCCCAGGCCACUCCCCAACCCCUUCCUACCAUUGCAGGCCUGGGUCACAUUUGACCAAUGCUGAUGGCUUCCAGGCUUGUCCACUUUCUGUUGCUAUAACAACAAAUGCCUGAGACUGGGUGGUUUACAAAGGAAAGAGGCUCACCUAAGGAGCUGGGGGGCAGGAAGUCCAGAGCAGGGCACUGGCACCUGCUCAGCUUCCGCCAGGGCCAGGGCCCAGGACCUGGUGCUGGCAAGCAGAGGGCAGUGGGCUGGCCGGGAAGAGGCGGGACACUAGGGGCGGCCUUACCUUAUUGUGGCCGCCCUGGUGAGAACUAAUCCUGUCCCAGGGGAAGGAACCUACUGCUGCCAGCAAGGCCUUAAUCCUCUUAGUGACCUAAUCACCUCUUAGAGACCCGGCCACCCGGCACCAUUAUGCUGGGGGCCACAUUUCAGCACCAGUCUUGAGGGGGACAAACCAUGUUCAGACAAAGCAGGGCCCCUCCUGGGUUCCUUCCUCCCUCCCCCUCCUUCACCCAGCAACCUCUCAACUGUGCCUACGGCCUGGUCCCACUGCAGACCCUGGCCUCCAACUUGGUCCCUGGGCACAGUCUCUGUCCUGGGUCUCAACCUGCAGGGCUGCUGGACAGGACCACUUCCAGGUCCCCGGAGUGGCUCAAAUGCCACCUGUUCACUCUCCGCCUUGCCUCCCUCCCACUCACCAGGUGUUCCGGCCCCCACCCGGGAGCGUGCCUUGAUUUUUUUCUCUUUUUAGGUUGAACAUUUGUUUUUGAGAGUGCAACGGAGCAUGUUCACAAGGUCACGCAACCAGCACCUCCGUCCAACCCCAGGAGGUCCGCAUUGACCCAGGGAAACGCCACACUCAUCAGAAGUCACUCCGACCCUCCCCACAGUCAGUGGCAGUGGCCUUCUGUCCCCACCACCCUGCUGGUUUUGGACGUUUCAGAUCAACAGACGCACACCGUGGUUUUUGUGUCUGGCUUUAGGUUUUCAAGUUCCUCGGGCCGUAGCCCGGGUCUGCAUGUUUUUCCUUUAUGGCCCAAUAAUACUCCCCUGUGUGGGUGUGUCCCAUUUGGUCUACCUGCUCUUAGCCGAUGGCAUUGGAGCUUCCCCUGGGGACUAUUAUAAACAGUGUCACUGUGAAUAUUUACAUGUGAGAUCUUAGCGGAUGUGUUUCUGCUUUUCUCGGGUACAAGCCUGGGAAUGAAAUCACGAGGCAUGGGGCAGCUCUGAGGUUUGAUAUUCUGAGAAGCCAUCAGUCUGUUUCCUCUCUCUUUUUUUUCUGUCUCCUGGGGAUCGGACCCAGGCACCUUCCCAUCUGUAAACAGGUGGCUUGCGCCUUCCUGGUUGGGCUCUGCAUGGAUCUGGACGCUCGAUGCUGGUCAGACACAGGAUCUGCCCACUCGGUUCCCGGUCUGAGUUGCCUUUUGACUUUCUUGAGGUGCCCUUUCGGAUCACACACCUUUUUAACGCUGAUGGAGCUCAGUGCCUCUGUUUCUUUCGCCACUUCAGUUUUUGUGCGGAAUCUAAAUCCUUUCUCAGUCCACAGUGGGGAAGAUUCACGCCAGUGUGUCCACAGAAGAGUCACCCCCACAUCUGGGCCCGAGACCCGCCUGGAGUUAACUGGUCUGUGGUGAGAAGGAGGGAGUCCGCCCUCCUCCUUCCCUUGUGACAUCAUUUUUCUUGUCAAUAUUUGUGCCGAUUCUCGUCCACUGCACUGCCUCGGCACCUCUUUGUUGAAGAUCAGCUGAUCAUAAAUGUGGGGAUCUACCUUGGGCUCUGCCCGUCGCUCUCUGCUUUUCCCAGUUCACCUCCUUGACUCUUCCUCCUCGUGCUGCAUCCAGCUGCUCCACAACAGAGAACUGGGUCUGUGUGGGGUUUGUGUGGCUCAUGGAGCCGUGGAGAUCAAGAGGGACACUGUCCUUGCCUCCGUGGACCUGACGUUCUUCCAGGAAUGGAUAGGCAAAGUGCAAGAGCAGACGCGUACUAAGAGGUGAUUUCAGGUAGUGCUUAGUGGGUGCGGGAAGACAAGACACUAUGUGACAGAGAGGGGCUGGUGGAGAAUUACAGGGCACUUCCACAGCGGAAUGCCAAGGAAGGCCACUCUGAGGAGCUAACAUUUGAGAAGGAGAAGUCAGCCACACAGAUCUGCCAGGCAGAGGGGCAGAAUAUGACUGAAGAUGAAACUGAUCCACUAAGGAGGGCAAACAGAGGCAUGCAGAACUGUCAAGACACAGCCUAGAUUAAACUGUGCCUGAAUUCCACCUUGGACUUUUUAGUCCUUGGGCCUUUGUUUCUCUUAUUGCUCAGCGGGUUAGAAUUGACUUUUCUGUUACAAACAGUAGUGUCCACACUGAAGUUCACGUUAGACCAUAAGCUGUGUCAAGGUUGGGGAAUAAUUGUCUGGUUCAACUUUGCAUGCACUCAGCUCUUGUAGGUCACAUUUUAAGAGGACCAGCUUUUUUUGUUUUUCUUAAACCACUGGAAGGCUUGGUGGUAUUGUGCCCGGCAGCCAGGACGGAACUGAAUCAGGGUCCCACUUUGGGUGUGGAGGCUGCUCUGAAGAGGAACUGACCCACGAGGAAGGCAGAACAGAGAGGACCACUUUUUCCAGGAAAAUUUUUCUUAGAGCCUGUGUGUCGGGUUCAUUUACUUACAUGCCUGUCCCGCGUGUGAGCCUGUGAGAUGCCCUGGACCAUCACACGCCCAGUGCCAGGAACACAGAAAUGAAGGACUGAGUCCACAGAUGAAUGUGUUGCCUAUUAAUUCUCUCUCUUUUUGAGGUACUAGGGAUUGAAUAUGCACCCUCAUGCAUGGUAAGGAAGUGCUCUGCCCCAGACCUUGAAAACUUUUCUAAAUUUUGAAAGGGUCUUGCUAAGUUGAGGCUGGACUUGAACUUGCGAUCCUCCUCCUGCCUCAGCCUCCGGGGUAGCUGGGGUUACAGGCAAGCGCCACCACGCGUGGCCACAGUGUUUAUUGCUAGCGUGCAGUUCUUUCCUGACUUCCUUCCUUCCUCCCUCCCUCUCUUGUCCCCUCCCUCCUUCCUCCUCUCUCUCUUCUCUUUCUCUUCUGCCUUAGCUGGGCAAAUUGACAGCAAGGUGCUCCAAAGCAGGGUUCUCUUUAAAGUCAAUUCCAGAGACUUGAGAGGCUGCGGCAGGAGGAUCACAAGUUUGAGGCCAGCAUUGACAACUCAGCGAGGCCCUAAGCAAGACCCUGUCUCAAAAUUUAAAAAGUAAAAUAAAAUAAAAAGGGCUGAGGAUAUAGCUCAGUGGGAAAGCACCCCUGGGUUCCAUCCCCAGGACCAUUCCUCCCAAACAAAAAACUGACUGGGGAUUUGGCUCAAUUGGUAGAGUGCUUGCCUCACAUGCACAAGGCAUGUUCAGUCCAGUAGAGGGCGCCCACAACAACCAGUAGAAAGAACAAGGGACGGUAGGGCAGGAAGCAGGCUUCCCAGUUGUCCACUGGUCACAGUGCUCUUCCAGGGAGGCUGACCUGCCCAGAUACAGGGGGUGUCAAAUUCAUGAUGCCAGCCCCUUCCUUCUGGUGGCAACUUAAUAUUCUUAAUAGAUAAUGCAUUCACAAGGUUUCAAAUAAAAUAAAAAGAUAAAUAGUAACAUUUCCGCCCCCUCCGUGGGCUUUUUGCUUUACCUCCUCAGCAAGUUCCAUUGUGAUUGUUCUCUUGAGUGCUUUUUGAGAAGGUUUAAUGCACAUAUCAACAGGUAUGAAUGUCUAUUUACCCGUGCUCCAUUUUAUCCCAAAGUAGCAGUGUUCUGAACACGCUGUUCUGUACCUGGCAUGGUUUAUGUGCCAGAUCUUGUGGAACAUUCCAUAUUGGCAUAUGGAGAGGGUCCUUGUUUUUUUUUCACAGCUGCAUACUCCUCGUGUUGCACCACUCUCACCAUCUACUCACCCGUCCACCAAUGAUGGGCAGUUGGGCUAUUCCUGUCCUCUGCUGUUAGAAAUGAACCAAUACAAAACCUUGAGUAUAUAUUUUUAAAAAUAUUUAUUUUUUAGUUGUAGUUAGACACAAAUACUUUUAUUUUAUUUGUUUUUAGGCGGUGCUGAGGAUCAAACCCAGGGCUUCGGGCGUGCUACGUGAGCACGCUACCCCUGAGCCACAACUCCAGCCCCUUGAAUAUAUUUUACAUCCGUGCAAAGGUAUCUAUAGCAGUGACUCUCAGCUUCAAGUGUGCGUGAGAAUCACCCAUGGGGUUUUCAGAAGUUCCACCACCCAGGGCGUAGCUCAGACCCAUCAUCAGAAGCUCUGAGCUCGAGACCAGAGCAUCCUGGGGAUCCCAGUGUCCAGCCAGGGCUGGGUAGCCUGACCCCCCAAGGCCAUAGAGAUUUAAAGAUGUACCAGAUAUUGCCAAAUGGCCUCCACCGGAGGAGGUUUGAGGGUGUGGGAGUUGUGUCAAUUCAUGCUCCUACCAGCAGGGUCCACCAGGGCCUGGGUCUUCACAGCCUCUCCUGCUAAUGAGACUAGCCAGAGUUUGGAUUUUGCCAACCUUCGUAUGGUUGAUUAUUAUUUUUAUAACUGGGGCUGGAGUUCAGGGCCUCACACAUGGAAGGCAAGGGCUUUGAACAUUUUUUUUUUUUUUUUUUUGGUGCUGGGGAUUGAAUCCAGGGCCUUGUGCAUGUGAGGCAAGCACUCUACCAAUUGAGCCAAAUCCCC